GCAGACCAUCGGCAAACUCCGUGAGCUGAAGGACCUGGGGGUGGACCUCGCUAUCGACGACUUCGGCACGGGCUAUUGCUCCAUCGUCUACCUCGAGCAUUCCUUGUUGAAGUACUUGAAGAUCGAUCGUCUAUUCAUACAUAGGAAAAGGGAAGACGACCCAGAGGGCUGCAGGAAGGUAAUUGCCGCCAUGACCAGCAUGGCGCACUCCCUAGAUCUGGCCGUGAUCGUCGAGGGUGUCGAGACCGAAGAACAGCUGACGGAGCUAAAAGAGAUAGGGUGCGAGAUGGUCCAGGGCUACUACUUUGCCAAGCCCCU
This 318-nucleotide unclassified non-coding RNA is filed under the name plant metagenome. Its description in RNAcentral is "partial contains 5.8S ribosomal RNA, internal transcribed spacer 2, and large subunit ribosomal RNA". The record is from RNAcentral.